This 48-nucleotide non-coding RNA is filed under the name Schistosoma mansoni. The record is from RNAcentral. Lineage: Eukaryota; Metazoa; Platyhelminthes; Trematoda; Strigeidida; Schistosomatidae.
AUUUAUCAGACGAGUCCCAUAUAGGACGAAGUGAUGUGAGUCCUAGAU